CCUACGGGUGGCAGCAGUGAGGAAUCUUCGUCAAUGGGCGCGAGCCUGAUCCAGCCAAGUAGCGUGAAGGAUGACUGCCCUACGGGUUGUAAACUUCUUUUAUAAAGGAAUAAAGUGAGGCACGUGUGCCUUUUUGUAUGUACUUUAUGAAUAUGGAUCGGCUAACUCCGUGCCAGCAGCCGCGGUAAUACGGAGGUUCCGAGCGUUAUCCGGAUUUAUUGGGUUUAAAGGGAGCGUAGAUGGGUUGUUAAGUCAGUUGUGAAAGUUUGCGGCUCAACCGUAAAAUUGCAAUUGAUACUGGCAGCCUUGAGUACAGUUGAGGUAGGCGGAAUUCGUGGUGUAGCGGUGAAAUGCUUAGAUAUCACGAAGAACUCCGAUUGCGAAGGCAGCUUACUAAACUGCCACUGACAUUGAUGCUCGAAAGUGUGGGUAUCAAACUGGAUUAGAUACCCGGGUAGUC
RNAcentral lists this ribosomal RNA (460 nucleotides) under uncultured bacterium. RNAcentral's name for it is "partial 16S ribosomal RNA". It matches the Rfam family "Bacterial small subunit ribosomal RNA", at positions 338 to 795 of the family's 1533-position model. The record is from RNAcentral.